RNAcentral lists this ribosomal RNA (1344 nucleotides) under Chryseobacterium sp. RNAcentral's name for it is "bacterial SSU rRNA". It matches the Rfam family "Bacterial small subunit ribosomal RNA", at positions 75 to 1427 of the family's 1533-position model. Lineage: Bacteria; Pseudomonadati; Bacteroidota; Flavobacteriia; Flavobacteriales; Weeksellaceae. The record is from RNAcentral.
AUCUUUCGGGAUCUUGAGAGCGGCGUACGGGUGCGGAACACGUGUGCAACCUGCCUUUAUCUGGGGGAUAGCCUUUCGAAAGGAAGAUUAAUACCCCAUAAUAUAUUGAAUGGCAUCAUUUGAUAUUGAAAACUCCGGUGGAUAGAGAUGGGCACGCGCAAGAUUAGAUAGUUGGUGAGGUAACGGCUCACCAAGUCAGCGAUCUUUAGGGGGCCUGAGAGGGUGAUCCCCCACACUGGUACUGAGACACGGACCAGACUCCUACGGGAGGCAGCAGUGAGGAAUAUUGGACAAUGGGUGAGAGCCUGAUCCAGCCAUCCCGCGUGAAGGACGACGGCCCUAUGGGUUGUAAACUUCUUUUGUAUAGGGAUAAACCUACCCUCGUGAGGGUAGCUGAAGGUACUAUACGAAUAAGCACCGGCUAACUCCGUGCCAGCAGCCGCGGUAAUACGGAGGGUGCAAGCGUUAUCCGGAUUUAUUGGGUUUAAAGGGUCCGUAGGCUGAUUUGUAAGUCAGUGGUGAAAUCUCACAGCUUAACUGUGAAACUGCCAUUGAUACUGCAAGUCUUGAGUGUUGUUGAAGUAGCUGGAAUAAGUAGUGUAGCGGUGAAAUGCAUAGAUAUUACUUAGAACACCAAUUGCGAAGGCAGGUUACUAAGCAACAACUGACGCUGAUGGACGAAAGCGUGGGGAGCGAACAGGAUUAGAUACCCUGGUAGUCCACGCCGUAAACGAUGCUAACUCGUUUUUGGGCUUUUGGGUUCAGAGACUAAGCGAAAGUGAUAAGUUAGCCACCUGGGGAGUACGAACGCAAGUUUGAAACUCAAAGGAAUUGACGGGGGCCCGCACAAGCGGUGGAUUAUGUGGUUUAAUUCGAUGAUACGCGAGGAACCUUACCAAGGCUUAAAUGGGAAAUGACAGGCUUAGAAAUAGGCUUUUCUUCGGACAUUUUUCAAGGUGCUGCAUGGUUGUCGUCAGCUCGUGCCGUGAGGUGUUAGGUUAAGUCCUGCAACGAGCGCAACCCCUGUCACUAGUUGCCAUCAUUAAGUUGGGGACUCUAGUGAGACUGCCUACGCAAGUAGAGAGGAAGGUGGGGAUGACGUCAAAUCAUCACGGCCCUUACGCCUUGGGCCACACACGUAAUACAAUGGCCGGUACAGAGGGCAGCUACACUGCGAAGUGAUGCAAAUCUCGAAAGCCGGUCUCAGUUCGGAUUGGAGUCUGCAACUCGACUCUAUGAAGCUGGAAUCGCUAGUAAUCGCGCAUCAGCCAUGGCGCGGUGAAUACGUUCCCGGGCCUUGUACACACCGCCCGUCAAGCCAUGGAAGUCUGGGGUACCUGAAGU